AUGUGUGUACCAAAGAAAAAGGGUGGAAUGGGAUUUAGAGACUUGCAUUGCUUCAGUUUGGCUCAUUUGGCAAAGCAGUGUUGGAGGUUGUUAUGUGAGCCUGAAUCAUUAUGUGCCAGAGUUUUGAGAGCCAAAUAUUUCGAUGGAGAUAUUCUUAACUGCAGCCUUAAGAAAGGGAGCUCUUAUACGUGGCAGAGUCUUUGGAGUGGUAUUCAGUCUUUCAAGUGA
RNAcentral lists this ribosomal RNA (228 nucleotides) under Triticum aestivum (bread wheat). Its description in RNAcentral is "partial small subunit ribosomal RNA". Lineage: Eukaryota; Viridiplantae; Streptophyta; Magnoliopsida; Poales; Poaceae. The record is from RNAcentral.